Molecule: long non-coding RNA, 687 nt
Filed under: Mytilus galloprovincialis (Mediterranean mussel)
Lineage: Eukaryota; Metazoa; Mollusca; Bivalvia; Mytilida; Mytilidae
Source: RNAcentral
AGACUAUGUGCUGUAAAUAAUUUUUGAAAAUUAUGUGUUCAAAGUAGUCUUUUUUCUAUACACUGACAUCACCAAGAUAGAAAUAUAGAACAUCAGUUCAGUCGAAUGAAAAUUUUUGGUAUUUAUGAGUUUAUUUAAUAAUGUUAUUACCAGUACUGGCAUUCUCAAAUUGAUAAAUCAAAACAUUACUAUAAGUGUACUAUAGUGCUAUAACACAUACACAUUCAUACGACGCGUUGAAACGUAUAUUUUGUUAUGACAAUGUUUAUUUGUUUCAAUCGAAUUUAUUUGAAAUCAACUGGAUGUGUACUUAUUGAUAGUUUAGUGUGGGAGACAUGUCUCAUUUCUUAUAUAACAAUUGUUUUGAACUAGCUGUCAGAAUGUGUUUUUUUUAUCCUUUUUGUCUUUGCGAUUUUAACAAUUGUUUAUAUUAAGAUUUGCAGUUACAGCCCAGGUUGGAAGAGAAGAGUUGUGCGCGUUCAAACCUGUUAAAUGUCCAAUUUCAAUUAAAUCACACCCAGCCCUUUGAAACCCUUUGUUGUUUCAAAUAUUAAAUCACAAUCCAUAUUCAGAGCUGUAUCAAGCCUGAAUGUUGUGUCCGUUAUUGUCUCAAUUAUUCAGGAUUUGACCGCUGCGGUCUAUGGAGCAUUAUAUUUUACUAAUAGACAAUUAACAUGGGAUAUAUAU